Long non-coding RNA from Colossoma macropomum (tambaqui), 2636 nucleotides. RefSeq lists it as uncharacterized. Lineage: Eukaryota; Metazoa; Chordata; Actinopteri; Characiformes; Serrasalmidae. The transcript is spliced from 3 exons. The record is from RefSeq and is a predicted model, not a curated record.
GCUCUGUGUUGCUGCCGCUGUCUCUGUAUCUUCUCACUGCAGAACUUCAGACAUUUCCGCACCCUCUGGGUCCUAAAGACCACUUUCUUCUUCCCCUCACUUCAGGGAAAAACACUUGGCAGUGUUCGCUGAGGGAGUGGUUUCAUACUUCUCACUGCAGAAUUUCAAACCUUUCUGCACCCUCUGGGUCCUAAAGACCAUCUCCUUCUUCCCCUCACUUUAGGCUGAACCAGACCUGGACUCCACCCCACCAAGACACUGACGUGCGGAAGGCAGAGCAGCAGAACAGGAACCAGCUGAACCGUCAGUCCUAACUGUCCCGGAACGACCCCCUCCGCCAUAUCUUCCCCUGACCGAAGUUUCAUCAAUGUCAAAAAAUGGUUCCGGAUGCACUGUUUCCCCCAACGAACCUUCAUCUUCCCCGGACGAAGCAAUCUCAAGCCCCAUCCGACCUGAUAAACGGGGUCAGGGUGCAUGAAACCUUCAGCUGCCCCAUGGUGGAAGUUUCUGGACCUGAUGGAAUGGUCUUGGUCCACCGCCCAUGGACGAUGGAUGAAACUGUGUGUGGGAUGGGAAACUGCAGUAUGCAGUGCAUGCUGAGAAACUGGUGAAGGAAGCUGAACAUAAAAAGAUGGAAAAGAGAUCUAAAGACUUCCACAGUGCCGCCUUAACCAUGUUUCAGCACUUCCAAGGCCAAGGUGGAGAGAGAGGAAGAGGAUGUGGGGGAGGACGAAGCAGAGGCCAACACAGAGGCCAACACAGACUGAAUCUGAAGGAUGUGAUCUGCUGGAACUGCAAGGAAAAAGGCCACUUUGCCAAAGACUGCACCACGGAAUGGAAAGAAGAAGAGAAAGCCAAGGCUGACUGAUGGGCAGAGGACGAGGAUGGUGAGGCGACUGAGAACGGGAGGGGUAAUGUAGACCAAGAACACACACAUAACACAAAUUUGUCAUUUUUACAAUACACAGCUUUCCCUUUCACCCAGCUGCCAUGUAUACCUCUGACAGUUGAGGGAAGGAAAAUACUGGUUCACUCGGGAGCAACCCACUCAGUAAUACAAAUGGCUGAAUUUCAUGAGAAUCCAAAACUCAGCAACUGCAGUGUUCGCACUGGGCACUCAGCAGUGGAACAUUUCAGUGAACCAUUGGGGUGCGAGACUGAGAAGGGGUGAAAAAAAGAAUAUUUUUUUUCUUAUCUCAAGCACAUGUCCCAUAAACCUGUUGGGAAGGGAUUUGAUGUGUGCACUGAGCCUCUCCCUAGAGUCGGCACCACAAGGGGUCACUGUCAUAGAAAAUAGACUGAAUUGUGUCAAAGUAGGACCAGGAAGUCCUCUCUAUGUAUAUGAGUGGAAGUUGUGUCCCGACCCAACCACGAAAAUGGCAGAAUUUUUGAUGGAAAAGGCAAUAGAAAAAUUGAGUGGGGAACAGAAUAUUGAGUAUAUGUCUCCUCCCGACCUCCAUUGCACAGCUCAUGUGCAUGAGGGAAAGGACGAGACAUGUGAAAAAGAAUGGUUCAGGGUAAAGUGCCUGAAUGAAAAAUUGUGAAUAACAGAACUGUACUGGGACAAACAUUUUUGUGCAUGCCUAGUCGAACUGACUGGAUCAGAUGAGCUUAAUUGUGAGUGUAAUCAGAAGCAAAUGCUUUGUGUGGAACACUCAGCUCCACGCAUCUCCCUAGCUAAACCAGCAGCAGUUACAUGGAAGGCAAUAGGCCCAUGGAUGCGGAGAUGUUCUGAUCCUAGGGUGUCCGACUGGACGCUCACAGAAACCCCAGGUAUUUGGUUCAGUGCUAGUGCAUUGUUGACACACAGUAAAAGGGGAAUUGAACUUGCACCAGAAUGUCAGACUACAGGCCUAGACAAGCACAACACCCACUUAGGGCUGGGCGAUAAAACGAUAACGAUAAUUAUCGCGAUAUAACUUUUCCUCGAUAGAGCGAUACGACAUGUUCGAUAAAUGUUCGAUAUAAUACACCAUUCUCACACUUCCACGAUCAGCGAAAGCCUUGGUGCCGUUUUCUACCGCAAGGAAAGCGACACUACUGUGCUGUCGCCAGGAGAGGGCGCACUUCCGAGUUUUUGUACAUGAUUAGAGAGGGAGGGGGCCACGAGUAAGAUGAGUCUUUAGCAACGGCUGAAACGCAGAGUUAUACAUUCCCUGUUUGAGUGGAGCGACAGGCGAUCUGUUCUCCUGUGACCGAGUGUGAGUGACGAGGUCAGUGGUGUAACUUUACUGUCCUACAGAGAACUCACCUGUUUCUGUACAUCCUAACCAGCUUUAGCAGCGUUAAAUCACAAUCCUCACAGCUACAGCGCUGUAACAGCGCUCGGACAGUCAUAUUUAAGUAUGAGUGCAUUCCCAAGCAACGAAAAUGAAAGAAAGAAGUGAGUUCAUGCAGUUACGGCGCUGAUGUAAACAAAAGUAAACUGAGGAAGCUGUGAGGCAUUGGAAAGCGGGAGAGCGCUAGCUUUCCAGGCUAGCUGUUUUUAGCAGCUGGCUAACUUAAAGCAGCGCUUCGUCACUGCACGACACGGAGAAUUAAUGACACUGUAGAUCAAACUCGACACAAAAGCACCGCUUUCAGUUUAAACAUACCUAAAAGGAGGACUCUGUUUGUCUGGUGUUGAUAUUUUGCGG